This 22-nucleotide unclassified non-coding RNA is filed under the name Amphidinium carterae. Its description in RNAcentral is "trans-spliced leader". The record is from RNAcentral. Lineage: Eukaryota; Dinophyceae; Amphidiniales; Amphidiniaceae.
UUCCGUAGCCUUUUGGCUCAAG